RNAcentral lists this long non-coding RNA (415 nucleotides) under Vitis vinifera (wine grape). Its description in RNAcentral is "long non-coding RNA (VVIN_LNC001433)". The record is from RNAcentral. Lineage: Eukaryota; Viridiplantae; Streptophyta; Magnoliopsida; Vitales; Vitaceae.
UGAACACAAUGGCUUACCAUCAUACGUGUAGUGCAGUGGGAUUCAACAGACUGAUGCUCCUAUGAGCUGGAUGAGAAGUACUUUUUCUCUUUCAGUUGAACUUUUCUUUAUAAGUAAUAAAGAACAUAUAUCAACAUGCCAAAAGGGGGUUCUCUCUUUCAAUAAUUUGACUCUUAUUACCACCUUAACAUGUAGCCAUUUAGCAGUCUUGAUUUUUUUUGUAUUUUCUUUUGCACCUGAUAUUUUGCUGAUUAAUAUCUAACAUUCCAACACUGAAUAGCUCCAGAAUCUCAAGUUUAUGACUAUGCUUGUGUAAGUCUUGUGGUUUGUUUAAUACUAACCAUCCCUUUUGUUGUGAAGUCAAAUCAACCGAACUGACGUAAUCUUGCCUUCAGGGGGCUCCAGACUAUUGGCG